RNAcentral lists this ribosomal RNA (253 nucleotides) under uncultured bacterium. RNAcentral's name for it is "partial 16S ribosomal RNA". It matches the Rfam family "Bacterial small subunit ribosomal RNA", at positions 524 to 776 of the family's 1533-position model. The record is from RNAcentral.
UACGUAGGUGGCAAGCGUUGUCCGGAAUUAUUGGGCGUAAAGCGCGCGCAGGCGGCCUCUUAAGUCUGAUGUGAGGGCCCCCGGCUCAACCGGGGAGGGCCAUUGGAAACUGGGAGGCUUGAGUAUAGGAGAGAAGAGUGGAAUUCCACGUGUAGCGGUGAAAUGCGUAGAGAUGUGGAGGAACACCAGUGGCGAAGGCGACUCUUUGGCCUAUAACUGACGCUGAGGCGCGAAAGCGUGGGGAGCAAACAGG